GCUAGUUGGUGCUUUCUCCGGGACGGAAACGUUAGCCAGGAGUAGCCCAGGAGCCGUAGCCAGGAGAUGGGCCUAGCAUGGGCUAGCUCCAGGCUAGUUGGUGCUUUCUCCGGGACGGAAACGUUAGCCAGGAGUAGCCCAGGAGCCCUAGCCAGGAGAUGGGUCUAGCAUGGGCUAGCCCCAGGCUAGUUGGUGCUUUCUCCGGGACGGAAACGUUAGCCAGGAGUAGCCCAGGAGCCCUAGCCAGGAGAUGGGCCUAGCAUGGGCUAGCCCCAGGCUAGUUGGUGCUUUCUCCGGGACGGAAACGUUAGCCAGGAGUAGCCCAGGAGCCCUAGCCAGGAGAUGGGUCUAGCAUGGGCUAGCCCCAGGCUAGUUGGUGCUUUCUCCGGGACGGAAACGUUAGCCAGCAGUAGUCAACCCGGGUUGCGGUUAGGUAGCUGCCAUGAUCCAGAUGAAAAGGGUUCAGAGUUUGCGGUAGGAAUCCGGGGAAUUGAUAGUUCACCUCUGUAUUUUGUCACUCGCUGAUCUGUUUCACCUGUCUUGUGCUUGUCUCCACCUCCCCCUCCUGGUGUCUCCCACUUUUCUCCACUAUCCAUUAUCCC
This 602-nucleotide long non-coding RNA is filed under the name Salmo salar (Atlantic salmon). RNAcentral's name for it is "lncRNA (ENSSSAG00000090646.1)". The record is from RNAcentral. Lineage: Eukaryota; Metazoa; Chordata; Actinopteri; Salmoniformes; Salmonidae.